RNAcentral lists this transfer RNA (73 nucleotides) under Ovis aries (sheep). It matches the Rfam family "tRNA". Rfam says of the family: Transfer RNA (tRNA) molecules are approximately 80 nucleotides in length. Lineage: Eukaryota; Metazoa; Chordata; Mammalia; Artiodactyla; Bovidae. The record is from Rfam by way of RNAcentral.
UUCCCUAGUGCUCAGAUGGUAAAGAAUCUGCCUGCAAAGCAGAAGACCCAAGUUUAAUCUCUGGGUUGGGAAG